UCCAUACAGACCUCCAGACCUCUAUGGUUAGCUGGUGGCAAGCUCCAGUCUCUGAACCCCCAGAGACAAGCUUUAUUUGUACAAGCAAGAUAUUACCACAUGCCCAGGAUCAUCUGGAAGAACCUGUGAAAGUGUCCGUGGCAGGAGUGGAAGCAGGGAAAGUGAUAAUUACUCAAAUGCCACAAACCUUACAAACCUUUGCAGGGGAGCUGAGGAGAAACAACUGACUGAAAAUCAGUAAAGCUUCCUCACUGACAUGCCCAGAGGUGUGUCUCCCAGGUGAUUCCAAAUCCAGUGGACAAAGAAGAUAUACCAUCCUAGAGGGAGUCAGGAAGGAAGGGGAACGGAGGGGAGGAGAGAAGAGAGGAAGGAGAGAAGACAACAGGUGAGGAAACAAAGAGGCACAAGGCUGGUUCCCAAGAGUGGCAGACUGGGUCCUGGGUUGGGAUGUGCUGCUCCAAGAGUUGAGAAGGAAACAGCCUGUUGUCUCACACGGAAGCAUGAGCACACACACAGGUACAUGCAUGCACACGCUCACACACUUUCAGCUCUGGGGCCAUCUGAGAAAGCAAAUUCUCCACAGUCAUUGCUGAGGACACACUCAGAAAGUGUGCUUGCACAAGGUCACAGAGAUGUCAUCAGAGACCUCUGGGAUGUCACAUGGGAUGGUGUACCUUUUCUAGCCAGAACUUAAGAAAAUGGGAAAUUCAAAAGCACAUGGGAAGUUAGAUUCCUUCACUAAGUGACUUCCAUGUCUAAGAGGAACUGUAUACCUCACUGACUCGGUGACAGCUGUCUAGAACAGAAUGAUAAGUAGUGAGGGCAACAAGAAAAAUAAAUGAGCCAAACACUUUUUUUUUUCCAGAGAGAAAGAGAGAGAGAGAAGUAAACAGCCACAACCACCCAAGGAAAUGAGAGAAAGCAGAUGAUGAAACUAAUGGGUUAGAAAAUAGAACAUGAAUUGAUGAAUAAAAGCAGGGUCUGAUUCUUUAGGAGGACCAAUGAAUUUCAGGAACCAUCAGCAAGCCCAAUCAAGGGGGAGAAAAAAAUAUGAGCAUGUAAAAUGAGAAAUGGGAGCGAGUAAAAUAAAAAAAACACAGAAAUAGCUUUCAUCUCCCUGCUAAUAAACCAGAGAAUCCCAAUGUUUUUCUCUAGGAAAUAUAAAUUGAAGAAGUGGCCAUGUGGCGGGGUAGACUAAUAAUCUGGGGGAAGGCAGAAAAGGUGGUGAGAAAAAUUAACCCUGCACCGUGUCUGCGUAGUUUCAAGGCUGGAGGGAUGGACAGCUAACUCUGUACUGUGUAGAUGGGGUGAGGCCGUGGGUAAAGAGGG
Molecule: long non-coding RNA, 1329 nt
Filed under: Cricetulus griseus (Chinese hamster)
Lineage: Eukaryota; Metazoa; Chordata; Mammalia; Rodentia; Cricetidae
Description: lncRNA (ENSCGRG00015042578.1)
Source: RNAcentral